GGGGAAUAUUGCACAAUGGAGGAAACUCUGAUGCAGCGACGCCGCGUGAGUGAAGAAGUAUUUCGGUAUGUAAAGCUCUAUCAGCAGGGAAGAUAGUGACGGUACCUGACUAAGAAGCACCGGCUAAAUACGUGCCAGCAGCCGCGGUAAUACGUAUGGUGCAAGCGUUAUCCGGAUUUACUGGGUGUAAAGGGAGUGUAGGUGGUCUGACAAGUCAGAGGUGAAAGCCCGGGGCUCAACCCCGGGACUGCCUUUGAAACUGUCAGACUAGAGUGCAGGAGAGGUAAGUGGAAUUCCUAGUGUAGCGGUGAAAUGCGUAGAUAUUAGGAGGAACACCAGUGGCGAAGGCGGCUUACUGGACUGUAACUGACACUGAGGCUCGAAAGCGUGGGGAGCAAACA
Molecule: ribosomal RNA, 401 nt
Filed under: uncultured Lachnospiraceae bacterium
Lineage: Bacteria; Bacillati; Bacillota; Clostridia; Lachnospirales; Lachnospiraceae
Description: bacterial SSU rRNA
Rfam family: Bacterial small subunit ribosomal RNA
Source: RNAcentral